RNAcentral lists this small nucleolar RNA (107 nucleotides) under Helianthus annuus (common sunflower). RNAcentral describes it as "sRNA HanXRQr2_Chr04g0171501". It matches the Rfam family "Plant small nucleolar RNA R71". Rfam says of the family: R71 is a member of the C/D box family of snoRNAs containing the C (UGAUGA) and D (CUGA) box motifs. Multiple nearly identical copies of this snoRNA have been identified in Arabidopsis, and it is thought to function as a 2'-O-ribose methylation guide for 18S ribosomal RNA. The record is from Rfam by way of RNAcentral. Lineage: Eukaryota; Viridiplantae; Streptophyta; Magnoliopsida; Asterales; Asteraceae.
AGACCGUGAUGUGGGCAUUUCCUUAGUAGCUCCUUGAACCUUUCCCAUAUCUCGUACAAGGAUUCCCCGUCUUCUUGAGAGUAGGUUUUGAUCUCGCUUAUGAGUUU